AGUGAACGCUGGCGGUAGGCCUAACACAUGCAAGUCGAACGGCAGCACAGUAAGAGCUUGCUCUUACGGGUGGCGAGUGGCGGACGGGUGAGGAAUACAUCGGAAUCUACUUUUUCGUGGGGGAUAACGUAGGGAAACUUACGCUAAUACCGCAUACGACCUACGGGUGAAAGCAGGGGAUCUUCGGACCUUUCGCGAUUGAAUGAGCCGAUGUCGGAUUAGCUAGUUGGCGGGGUAAAGGCCCACCAAGGCGACGAUCCGUAGCUGAUCUGAGAGGAUGAUCAGCCACACUGGAACUGAGACACGGUCCAGACUCCUACGGGAGGCAGCAGUAGGGAAUAUUCCACAAUGGGCGCAAGCCUGAUCCAGCCAUGCCGCGUGAGUGAAGAAGGCCCUCGGGUUGUAAAGCCCUUUUGUUGGGAAAGAAAAGAAGCAGGUUAAUACCCCGCUGUUCUGACGGUACCCAAACAAUAAGCACCGGCUAACUUCGUG
This 492-nucleotide ribosomal RNA is filed under the name uncultured bacterium. Its description in RNAcentral is "partial 16S ribosomal RNA". It matches the Rfam family "Bacterial small subunit ribosomal RNA", at positions 29 to 507 of the family's 1533-position model. The record is from RNAcentral.